RNAcentral lists this ribosomal RNA (381 nucleotides) under uncultured eukaryote. RNAcentral describes it as "SSU rRNA". It matches the Rfam family "Eukaryotic small subunit ribosomal RNA", at positions 587 to 972 of the family's 1831-position model. The record is from RNAcentral.
AGCUCCAAUAAGGGAAACUAAAGUUGCUGUGUUUAAAAAGCUCGUAGUUGAAUUUCGGGUAUUUGUUGCUAGCUGGUCUUCACGGCCAUGUUGGCUAACAGAUCCUCACAUUGGCUGGACGGCUGGCGAUGAUCUUUAUCGGUUGUCGUCAGUUGCCAGAACGUUUACUUUGAGAAAAUUAGAGUGCUAAAAGCAGGCUCACGCCUAGAUAUAUUGCAUGGAAUAAUGAAAUAAGAUCUCGGUUUUAUUUCGUUGGUUUUAGAAAUUGAGAUAAUGAUUAAUAGGAUCAGAGGGGGGCGUACGUACUGUGGUGUGAGAGGUGAAAUUCUUGGAUCGCCACAGGACGAACAGCAGCGAAGGCGUUCGCCAAGAAUGUUUUCA